This 387-nucleotide unclassified non-coding RNA is filed under the name soil metagenome. Its description in RNAcentral is "partial contains 5.8S ribosomal RNA, internal transcribed spacer 2, and large subunit ribosomal RNA". The stretch from base 1 to 120 matches the Rfam family "5.8S ribosomal RNA", at positions 35 to 154 of the family's 154-position model. The record is from RNAcentral.
GAUGAAGAACGUAGCGAAAUGCGAUAAGUAAUGUGAAUUGCAGAAUUCAGUGAAUCAUCGAAUCUUUGAACGCACCUUGCACCCUUUGGCAUUCCGAAGGGUAUGCUCGUUUGAGUGUCAUUGUACUCUCACACUCUCCGAUCCUAUGGAUUCGGGGAGCGGUGGACUUGGGUGUUGCUGCCUUUCCUUGUGGCUCACCUCAAAUGUGUCAGUGCACCUCUUGGUUGGACAUAGUACGGCGUGAUAAGUGUCUUCGCCGGCACCUCGCAAGAGGGUGGCCGAUCGGGAGCUCUGUGCUUUCAAACCGUCUUCGGACAAUUUCUGACAACUUGACCUCAAAUCGAGUAGGACUACCCGCUGAACUUAAGCAUGUCAAUAAGCGGAGGA